This 253-nucleotide ribosomal RNA is filed under the name uncultured bacterium. Its description in RNAcentral is "partial 16S ribosomal RNA". It matches the Rfam family "Bacterial small subunit ribosomal RNA", at positions 524 to 776 of the family's 1533-position model. The record is from RNAcentral.
UACGUAGGGUCCGAGCGUUGUCCGGAAUUACUGGGCGUAAAGAGCUCGUAGGCGGUUUGUCGCGUCGGCUGUGAAAACCCGAGGCUCAACCUCGGGCCUGCAGUCGAUACGGGCAAACUAGAGUGCGGUAGGGGAGACUGGAAUUCCUGGUGUAGCGGUGAAAUGCGCAGAUAUCGGGAAGAACACCCGUGGCGAAGGCGGCUCUCUGGGACGGUACUGACGCUGAGACGCGAAAGCGUGGGGAGCGAACAGG